CUUCAAGGUAUGCAGAUUUUCUUAGAGAAGCAUUGAAUGUGGAUGAGUUUCCCCUACCAUGAGGUAAAGCUCAGGUCUCCUUCUGAGGUAAAGCCCUAAGAUAGGGUGAACUGAAAAGUUCCAACAUCUAUCUCUGGGUAUAUUUUCACAGACGGCUUAAAUUUCCCCUUUUCACAAUCUCAGUUAGAUGCUGGAAUCCCAGAUGGAGAUAACGUUCUAGCAAGUUCAAAGUGAAGGUCCUAUCAGACUCUUUUAUAUGCAUGAGCCUCCAAAUUAUUUGAUUUAGUACUUCUUUGUGCAAGAAGGAGUCAUCCAGGAAUACUUAAAAUCUUAGUCUGUAGGGAAACCUGCUUUACUUGGAGUUGAGAGUGAACUAAUCACUCAUGAGAAUUCCUGUAAUGUCUUAGAUCAUAUAGCACACUAGUUAGUUUUAAAAUGGCUAUGCCAAAGAAUGUGUCCUGUGAGCCAUCAUAGUACAUGACAGCGUUCUUACUAAAUGUGAUCCAAUCCCCUAUUUAUUGAAAGUGACUGUGAUCAUUGUGAUACAGAAAGUACCAUUUUGCCAAGUAAGACUCAACUGAGGGUGACUGCUAAUAUCAAUUCAUAUAGAUUGUUUCACUUUUAAAACAGACUCUUUCCUCUAAUCAUGCCAAAGGAAGUGGCCUCUAAAGAAUUCGCUGAUUUACUGUGCCUAAUAAGACACAGCCUGGACAUUCUGUUCUUUCUUCCUCAUUUAAUCAGCAAGGUGACUAGGUGUUGGGCUUAAGGACCUCAUUUACAAAACCUCAAAGGCAGUAGUCUAUGUAUCAUCACAGAAGGGGACAAAGCCAGGUCCUAGUCACAAUUAAAAUAUGCGUGCCAUUCCUACAAGGCUUUUAUUGACAAAUAUUUUCUUAGACAGUGAGUUCAUUUUAAAAGGUUGCAACAAAAGCUUGCAUUGGUAAUCAUUAAAUGCUUUCAAUAGUAACUGAAAAACCUAUCCUUAGGGCUCCACAGAUGAUGUAAUGCACUCUCCUUUCAUUGAUGCCAGGAUAUCGGGUAGACAGUUUCUCUUGCUGGAUGGUAGCACUCUGAAAGUACUUCUUUCUUGAACAACUCUUGGUGUCAAUAAGCAGCCAUUGCUUUACUUUCCUGUACUUGUGGCAUGAAUUGCAAAGUGAGGUUCUGAGAAUACCAGUUCCAGUCUCUGAGAAUGAGUAUUUCUAAGGAGCCUACCCUAAAUCUGAAGCAUUGGGAUUAGUUUAACAGAUAUUUAUACACUGCUUAAUAUUCUCUUUGACACUAGGGCUACAAAAGCAAUAAGGAAGAUUUCCUGUCACUCAGAAGCUAAAGAUCCAACUGAGGAGAAAAAUGUAAACAAAGAUGUUGCUUUGAGGUAUCUUUUAUAAAACCCUUGAUGUAACCCAUGGAGGGUUCAGGAAAGGGCCCUGAUACUUCCACAUCAGAGGGCUGAUACCGGAGGUGGAUUCUAGCUGACUUACACUCUACCUUUGGAAGCUACAACAAGUUGGAUUUUGUGGGUAAAAUCUCUGGAUGAUGAAGUGAUCCUUAAAAUACUUAAAGAUUUUUAUCAGGAAAACACUUCCAAUAUUGAAAAUAUUAUCAAUGACCAUAUUUCAAAAGGUUGGGUAUCCUUUACAGCACACAUGGAAUCUCAGAUCACUGAGUACCAUGUCUACUUUCUGCAGGAUAGCCAUAUUCCUACAAGCGCUUUGUGCAGGAUGCAAUGCUUUAGGCUGUAUUUCCAAUCUUCCAGCCUCCUUGUAAUUCUUUCUUUUCUUUUAUUAUUACUUUUAAAAUUGUAUGUUUUAGAAGUAAUAAGCCAACUUGCUUACCAGUGAGUGUCUCUGGCACAUGGACAUUGUAAUUUCUUGAGAAAACUCUUGGCUAUGGUCCUUACAGCUUGUUCUAAUUAUGUAAUGGCUUUGGGGGGACUGGAACUGGAUGUGGUCUCUGAGGACAGGAUGAACCUGAGAAAUGAGCUAUAGUAGAUGCCUUUAGUUUGCUGGCUAAUCCCUAGGGGUGCCCUCUCAGGUUCCUAUGCAUCUUGCAACAGAAUUUGCCCAUAGAAAUAAGUGAAAAAAAUGAGGAAAGGGAAGGGAUGCAAAUUUCAAGGUGAACAUGGAAAAAUAAGCCACCCAGAUCCUACAAACAGUGCUGGGGAGAAAGCAUCUGUGUCAUCAUCUCAAAAGCAGGAUCGUCUUGGCAAGGGGCAGGAGGUAGAAGACUGCAAAGGUUUAAAUAGUAGACUUGCUUUUAGGGCCCAAACAUGGGAAAGAUGUGAUUCAAAACUCUGCAUACAGCAAAGCCAUGUUUAGGCUCAAAUUUCACCAAUCACUACACACGUGAC
This 2350-nucleotide long non-coding RNA is filed under the name Marmota monax (woodchuck). The record is from RNAcentral. Lineage: Eukaryota; Metazoa; Chordata; Mammalia; Rodentia; Sciuridae.